AUGCUGAGGCGGACGGUGCGGAGCCUCCUGCCGGGAGGGGGCAGCUUCAAGUCGUCGGUCAGAGGCUAUGAGGCGUCCCUCUCCAGGCUCUUUAGCGGAAGGAUCGCUAGGACCUCGUCACUCCCGGCGGCGGACGAUGGCGUGCUCUCGGCCUCCGUGCACGCUGCCAACAAGACGCCGCCGAGUGUUCCUGUCGCCGCUGAGAAGACGGACAUGCACCGGUCGCAGUCCCUCCCGAUGAACAUGAAGUUGAGCUCGGCCAAGAGCAUCAAGAGGAUGAACUCGCUCGACGGCGUGUACUGUGUCGUCCCCUCCACACCGUGA
This 324-nucleotide ribosomal RNA is filed under the name Triticum aestivum (bread wheat). RNAcentral's name for it is "partial small subunit ribosomal RNA". Lineage: Eukaryota; Viridiplantae; Streptophyta; Magnoliopsida; Poales; Poaceae. The record is from RNAcentral.